GAGCCGGUAGCUCAGUCGGUAGAGCAUCGGACUUUUAAUCCGCUGGUCGUGGGUUCGAUUCCCACCCGACCCACCA
RNAcentral lists this transfer RNA (76 nucleotides) under Nitrospira sp. RNAcentral describes it as "tRNA-Lys". It matches the Rfam family "tRNA". From Rfam's summary of the family: Transfer RNA (tRNA) molecules are approximately 80 nucleotides in length. Lineage: Bacteria; Pseudomonadati; Nitrospirota; Nitrospiria; Nitrospirales; Nitrospiraceae. The record is from RNAcentral.